UGUUUCAAACUUGUUUGGUUUCACAUGCUUCUCGUUGAGGAACAUUAUCUCAUGCAUCAUUAGCUCUUUGGCUUUGUGAGUUUCUUUGUCAUCAUUCUCCUGUGUUUCUUGGAGCUUAAGCAGCCUGUCUGGACAAUUCGAUGUAUAUACUUCUUCCGAGGAAUUAUCUUUAGAAACUUCUUGACUAGCUUAGGUUCUUCGAUACUUGUUCCCAACACAGCUGAUUUUGUGUAAAUUUCGG
Molecule: long non-coding RNA, 241 nt
Filed under: Eutrema salsugineum
Lineage: Eukaryota; Viridiplantae; Streptophyta; Magnoliopsida; Brassicales; Brassicaceae
Description: long non-coding RNA (ESAL_LNC000227)
Source: RNAcentral